GACGAACGCUGGCGGCGUGCUUAACACAUGCAAGUCGAACGGUAAGGCCCUUCGGGGUACACGAGUGGCGAACGGGUGAGUAACAUGUGGGUGAUCUGCCCUGCACUUCGGGAUAAGCGUGGGAAACUGAGUCUUAUACCGUAUAGGACCCUGUGAUGCAGGUCCUGGGCUUGAAAGCUUUUGCGGUGUGGGAUGGGCCCGCGGCCUAUCGGCUGGUUGGUGGGGUGAUGGCGUACCAAGGCGACGACGGGUAGCCGGCUUGAGAGGGUGACCGGUCACACGGGGACUGAGAUACGGCCCAGACUCCUACGGGAGGCAGCAGUGGGGAAUAUUGCACAAUGGGCGCAAGCCUGAUGCAGCGUCACCGCGUGAGGGAUGACGGCCUUCGGGUUGUAAACCUCUUUCAGCACCGACGAAGCGAAAGUGACGGUAGGUGCAGAAGAAGGACCGGCCAACUACGUGCCAGCAGCCGCAGUAA
Molecule: ribosomal RNA, 478 nt
Filed under: uncultured bacterium
Lineage: Bacteria
Description: partial 16S ribosomal RNA
Rfam family: Bacterial small subunit ribosomal RNA
Source: RNAcentral